RNAcentral lists this ribosomal RNA (305 nucleotides) under uncultured bacterium. RNAcentral describes it as "bacterial SSU rRNA". It matches the Rfam family "Bacterial small subunit ribosomal RNA", at positions 338 to 660 of the family's 1533-position model. The record is from RNAcentral.
CCUACGGGGCGCAGCAGUGGGGAAUAUUGCACAAUGGGGGGAACCCUGAUGCAGCGACGCCGCGUGGGUGAAGAAGUCAUUCGUGACGUAAAGCCCUAUCAGCAGGGAAGAAAAUGACGGUACCUGACUAAGAAGCCCCGGCUAACUACGUGCCAGCAGCCGCGGUAAUACGUAGGGGGCAAGCGUUAUCCGGAUUUACUGGGUGUAAAGGGAGCGUAGACGGCUGCGCAAGUCUGAAGUGAAAGCCCGGGGCUCAACCCCGGGACUGCUUUGGAAACUGUGUAGCUAGAGUGCUGGAGAGGCAG